Long non-coding RNA from Trichomycterus rosablanca, 506 nucleotides. RefSeq lists it as uncharacterized. The transcript is spliced from 3 exons. The record is from RefSeq and is a predicted model, not a curated record. Lineage: Eukaryota; Metazoa; Chordata; Actinopteri; Siluriformes; Trichomycteridae.
CAAUGAACUUUCACGUUAUGUCGGGGGCCACAACUGGCCCGCGGGCCGCGAGUUUCAGACCCCUGAUGUAACACAUACAUUUUGUUCAUAUUAAUGUGUACAAUGUCAACACAUUAUUAUCGAGUACUGAGAUAAUGGAGAAGAAUGCCUUUAUUUGUCAUAUGUACAUACAGUAUACAGGUGUACAGUACGAAGAAAUUCUUUUUUUCCACAUAUCCCAGCUCUUUUGGAAGCUGAGGUCAGAGCACAAGCUCAGAAUAUAAUUCUGUACAUUUCUUUUAGUACACAAAAAAGUAUCCUGUAACAGUUCUGCCGAACACAUGCGGACGAAACACCUCAGAGAUCAUUUAACAUCAGAACCUGAGAAGAAAUUCCUUCUGGUACCUGGUACCUGAAAAAGACCCAUGUGAAGAACACUAGAGAGUAGGUGGACAGUUCCUGUGAGCUAUAGAUUGUGAGCUGUGUUGUUGGUGAGGAAGAAGGGGAGGAUGUAGAUGAGGUCGAGG